This 390-nucleotide ribosomal RNA is filed under the name uncultured bacterium. RNAcentral describes it as "bacterial SSU rRNA". It matches the Rfam family "Bacterial small subunit ribosomal RNA", at positions 28 to 412 of the family's 1533-position model. The record is from RNAcentral.
GACGAACGCUGGCGGCGUGCUUAACACAUGCAAGUGGUGCGACGAACCAGGGCUUGCCCUGGGGCAAAGCCGCGAACGGGUGAGUAACACGUGAGUAACCUGCCCCGAUGACCGGGACAACCCGAGGAAACUCGGGCUAAUACCGGAUGUGGCGCACAGGCAUCAGCCUGUUCGCUAAAGGAAGCUUCGGCCUCCGCAUUGGGAGGGGCUCGCGGCCCAUUAGCUUGUUGGUGGGGAACGGCCUACCAAGGCAACGAUGGGUAGCUGGUCUGAGAGGACGAUCAGCCACACUGGGACUGAGACACGGCCCAGACUCCUACGGGAGGCAGCAGUGGGGAAUCUUGCGCAAUGCGCGAAAGCGUGACGCAGCAACGCCGCGUGGGGGAAGAA